RNAcentral lists this ribosomal RNA (373 nucleotides) under uncultured organism. Its description in RNAcentral is "partial 16S ribosomal RNA". It matches the Rfam family "Bacterial small subunit ribosomal RNA", at positions 527 to 896 of the family's 1533-position model. The record is from RNAcentral.
GUAGGUGGCAAGCGUUGUUCGGAAUUAUUGGGCGUAAAGCGCGCGCAGGCGGUUUUUUAAGUCUGAUGUGAAAGCCCACGGCUCAACCGUGGAGGGUCAUUGGAAACUGGAGAACUUGAGUACAGAAGAGGAAAGCGGAAUUCCACGUGUAGCGGUGAAAUGCGUAGAGAUGUGGAGGAACACCAGUGGCGAAGGCGGCUUUCUGGUCUGUAACUGACGCUGAGGCGCGAAAGCGUGGGGAGCAAACAGGGAUUAGAUACCCUGGUAGUCCACGCCGUAAACGAUGAGUGCUAAGUGUUAGGGGGUUUCCCGCCCCUUAGUGCUGCAGCUAACGCAUUAAGCACUCCGCCUGGGGAGUACGGCCGCAAGGCUG